Molecule: small nuclear RNA, 21 nt
Filed under: Arabidopsis thaliana (thale cress)
Lineage: Eukaryota; Viridiplantae; Streptophyta; Magnoliopsida; Brassicales; Brassicaceae
Description: snRNA_17613
Source: RNAcentral
AUAGGAGACCGCCGCUACGAG